UGGAAACCUAACAUUAUCUCCUUGCUAUUUCAGUGAUACGUACUCAAAAGCAAGUCUGAAUGUUUGCAUUUGGACUUUUGAGUAGGGCAGAAGUAAAUAUGUGAUGUCAUAACACAUUUUUAAGGCAUGAAAGUGAUGCCUGCACAAAUAUUCCAUUUGAUGGUUUCUACUCGUUAAUUGGCUCAAAUUACAGCCAAUGAACAAAAGGCAAGACUAUAUUCCAUGGUGUUACAAGCAUAACUACACAGUAUAUGCUCUCACUAAAGAUUAAAAACAAACAAACAAAAAAAACAAACAAAAAACAAAAAAACCAUGAACUAACAAAAAGAAUUAUCAAUCAAUACGAACAAAAGGGCUAAUCUACUAACAUCAUUCACAGACUUCCCCACACCCCCUCAAUUACUGCUGCCCAGCUGGGAACUCGUCUCCCUAAGACACAACCCCCCUCAGUUAUAACUGGACAAACCACCUGUGAGUGAUGGUGGUGGUGGCCGGCGCUGUGCUGCGUCCUGUACCACCGCUUGUCUCCGCCCUUCCCGCUGCGGCCCAAGGACCUGCUGCUGUGGUGGUGGUGGUGGUGGUGGGCACUCUUGUCGUGCUCGCGGUGUUGUUGCCUGCUGUCAUAGCCCUGUGUGUGCUCACUCCUGUACUCCUCCACAUAGCGUCUCCGCUUGUGGUGCUCCCGGUCAUUUACGGAUUUGGCCUCCGAACAUUUGCUGUGAGGCCGCUUGGCCAUCUCAUGCCUGUAGUGCCUGCUCUCCUGGGCACCGCUGUGCGAUCUCCGCUUCCCCUGGCGCUCACUGCCGCCGCGCCGCCGAUCCCACCCGGGCUGGUCGCUGCGCUCGUAAUUUCCCAUCUCAGCAGCCCGGGUUGCCGCCGCGCUCUCCGACCGCCGCCGCUACUCUCUCUGUAGCCGUCGCUACCUCCGCACGUUAGCCGCACUCAGCUCUCAACUCUCG
This 959-nucleotide long non-coding RNA is filed under the name Gallus gallus (chicken). Lineage: Eukaryota; Metazoa; Chordata; Aves; Galliformes; Phasianidae. The record is from RNAcentral.